This 229-nucleotide transfer-messenger RNA is filed under the name Acidobacteriota bacterium. RNAcentral describes it as "Acidobacteria bacterium partial transfer-messenger RNA". It matches the Rfam family "transfer-messenger RNA", at positions 1 to 252 of the family's 374-position model. From Rfam's summary of the family: Bacterial tmRNA, also known as 10Sa RNA or SsrA, is named for its dual tRNA and mRNA-like properties. Its role is to liberate the mRNA from a stalled ribosome. Lineage: Bacteria; Pseudomonadati; Acidobacteriota. The record is from RNAcentral.
GGGGGCGUCACGGCUUCGACGGAGAUGCUUGCGGCCAAGAGGCAUGCCGGGGUGCACACACCCGUAAUCGCGUGCAAAACAACAAUUGCCAACCAAACACUGGCAUACGCAGCUUAAUUAAUUAAGUUGCCGUUCUCCGCAGCUUCGCCCGUGGGCUGCGAGCGAACGUCGAACUGCGGGCUGGUCUUCCCGGCUACGUCUGGGCUGGGAGGAUGAGACUUUCAGGCUA